GUUGUAUGGUUAAGUGACUAAGCGUACACGGUGGAUGCCUUGGCAGUUGGAGGCGAUGAAGGACGUAUUAACUUGCGAUAAGCCUAGUCAAGCUAGUAAAAAGCGCUUGAGACUAGGAUUUCCGAAUGGGGAAACCCACCUGCUUGCAGGUAUCGUUAACUGAAUACAUAGGUUAACGAGGCGAACGCGGAGAACUGAAACAUCUAAGUACCCGUAGGAAAAGAAAUCAACCGAGAUUCCGAAAGUAGCGGCGAGCGAAAUCGGAACAGCCCUUAAGCUUAUURUGUGUUAAUGGAAGGCUCUGGAAAGUGCCACGAUACAGGGUGAUAGUCCCGUACAUGAAAAGACAUUUUAAGUGAAAUCGAGUAGGUCGGAGCACGUGAAACUUUGACUGAAUAUAGGUGGACCAUCAUCUAAGGCUAAAUACUCCCAACUGACCGAUAGUGAACCAGUACCGUGAGGGAAAGGCGAAAAGAACCCCUGUGAGGGGAGUGAAAUAGAACCUGAAACCGUGUACGUACAAGCAGUAGGAGCCCACUUGUUGGGUGACUGCGUACCUUUUGUAUAAUGGGUCAGCGACUUAUAUUUUGUAGCGAGGUUAACCGAAUAGGGUAGCCGUAGGGAAACCGAGUCUUAACUGGGCGACUAGUUGCAAGGUAUAGACCCGAAACCCGGUGAUCUAGCCAUGGGCAGGUUGAAGGUUGAGUAACAUCAACUGGAGGACCGAACCCACUAACGUUGAAAAGUUAGGGGAUGACCUGUGGCUAGGAGUGAAAGGCUAAUCAAACCGGGAGAUAGCUGGUUCUCCCCGAAAUCUAUUUAGGUAGAGCCUCGGACGAAUACUUACGGGGGUAGAGCACUGUUAAGGCUAGGGGGUCAUCCCGACUUACCAACCCUUUGCAAACUCCGAAUACCGUAAAGUAAUAUCCGGGAGACACACGGCGGGUGCUAACGUCCGUCGUGAAGAGGGAAACAACCCAGACCGCCAGCUAAGGUCCCAAAGUCAUAGUUAAGUGGGAAACGAUGUGGAAAGGCCCAGACAGCCAGGAGGUUGGCUUAGAAGCAGCCAUCCUUUAAAGAAAGCGUAAUAGCUCACUGGUCGAGUCGGUCUGCGCGGAAGAUGUAACGGGGCUAAACUAUGCACCGAAGCUGCGGAUUCAGAAUUUAUUCUGAGUGGUAGGGGAGCGUUCUGUAAGCGGUUGAAGGUGUACCGGGAGGUAUGCUGGACGUAUCAGAAGUGCGAAUGCUGACAUGAGUAACGAUAAUGGGAGUGAAAAACUCCCACGCCGGAAGACCAAGGGUUCCUAUCCCAUGUUAAUCAGGGUAGGGUAAGUCGACCCCUAAGGCGAGGCCGAAAGGCGUAGUCGAUGGGAAACAGAUUAAUAUUUCUGUACUCGAUAUAAUUGCGAUGGGGGGACGGAGCAGGCUAAACAAGCAUGGCGUUGGUAGUCCAUGUGAAAGUGAGUAGGUUGGUGACUUAGGUAAAUCCGGGUUGCUAUUAAGACUGAGACACGAGACGAGUCACUACGGUGAUGAAGUUGUUGAUGCCAUACUUCCAGGAAAAGCCUCUAAGCUUCAGAUUAUAUGGAAUCGUACCCCAAACCGACACAGGUGGUCAGGUAGAGAAUACUAAGGCGCUUGAGAGAACUCGGGUGAAGGAACUAGGCAAAAUCGUACCGUAACUUCGGGAGAAGGUACGCUCCUAUCUGUGAUGAGACUUGCUCUCUAAGCGGACGGGAGCCGCAGUGACCAGGUGGCUGGGACUGUUUAUUAAAAACACAGCACUGUGCAUUGAUGCCAUACUUCCAGGAAAAGCCUCUAAGCUUCAGAUUAUAUGGAAUCGUACCCCAAACCGACACAGGUGGUCAGGUAGAGAAUACUAAGGCGCUUGAGAGAACUCGGGUGAAGGAACUAGGCAAAAUCGUACCGUAACUUCGGGAGAAGGUACGCUCCUAUCUGUGAUGAGACUUGCUCUCUAAGCGGACGGGAGCCGCAGUGACCAGGUGGCUGGGACUGUUUAUUAAAAACACAGCACUGUGCAAAAUCGCAAGAUGACGUAUACGGUGUGACACCUGCCCGGUGCCGGAAGGUUAAUUGAUGGGGUUAUCCUUAGGGAGAAGCUCUUGAUCGAAGCCCCGGUAAACGGCGGCCGUAACUAUAACGGUCCUAAGGUAGCGAAAUUCCUUGUCGGGUAAGUUCCGACCUGCACGAAUGGUGUAACCAUGGCCACGCUGUCUCCACCCGAGACUCAGUGAAAUUGAAAUCGCAGUGAAGAUGCUGUGUACCCGCGGCUAGACGGAAAGACCCCGUGAACCUUUACUACAGCUUGGCACUGAACAUUGAACCUACAUGUGUAGGAUAGGUGGGAGACUUUGAAGMWGMGACGCUAGUUKUKKUGGAGUCGUCCUUGAAAUACCACCCUUGUAGUUUUGAUGUUCUAACGUUGGCCCCUGAAUCGGGGUUACGGACAGUGCCUGGUGGGUAGUUUGACUGGGGCGGUCUCCUCCUAAAGAGUAACGGAGGAGCACGAAGGUUGGCUAAGUACGGUCGGACAUCGUACGGUUAGUGUAAUGGUAGAAGCCAGCUUAACUGCGAGACAGACACGUCGAGCAGGUACGAAAGUAGGUCAUAGUGAUCCGGUGGUUCUGAAUGGAAGGGCCAUCGCUCAACGGAUAAAAGGUACUCCGGGGAUAACAGGCUGAUACCGCCCAAGAGUUCAUAUCGACGGCGGUGUUUGGCACCUCGAUGUCGGCUCAUCACAUCCUGGGGCUGAAGUCGGUCCCAAGGGUAUGGCUGUUCGCCAUUUAAAGUGGUACGCGAGCUGGGUUUAGAACGUCGUGAGACAGUUCGGUCCCUAUCUGCCGUGGGCGUUUGAGAAUUGAGAGGGGUUGCUCCUAGUACGAGAGGACCGGAGUGAACGAACCGCUGGUGUUCGGGUUGUCAUGCCAAUGGCAUUGCCCGGUAGCUACGUUCGGAACUGAUAAGCGCUGAAAGCAUCUAAGCGCGAAGCAGGCCUCGAGAUGAGUUCUCACUAGACUUUUAAAGUCUCUGAAGGGCCGUUGAAGACUACAACGUUGAUAGGCAAGAUGUGGAAGUGGUGUGAGCCAUUAAGCUAACUUGUACUAAUUACCCGUGAGGCUUAACCAUACAACGCCAAACGCGUUU
Molecule: ribosomal RNA, 3165 nt
Filed under: Pseudoalteromonas sp. FUC4
Lineage: Bacteria; Pseudomonadati; Pseudomonadota; Gammaproteobacteria; Alteromonadales; Pseudoalteromonadaceae
Description: 23S ribosomal RNA
Rfam family: Bacterial large subunit ribosomal RNA
Source: RNAcentral